AUUGAACGCUGGCGGCAUGCCUUACACAUGCAAGUCGAACGGCAGCACGGGAGCAAUCCUGGUGGCGAGUGGCGAACGGGUGAGUAAUGUAUCGGAACGUGCCCAGUCGUGGGGGACAACGCAGCGAAAGCUGUGCUAAUACCGCAUACGAUCUAUGGACGAAAGCGGGGGACCGUAAGGCCUCGCGCGAUUGGAGCGGCCGAUAUCAGAUUAGGUAGUUGGUGGGGUAAAGGCCCACCAAGCCGACGAGCUGUAGCUGGUCUGAGAGGACGACCAGGCACACGGGAACUGAGACACGGUCCAGACUCCUACGGGAGGCAGCAGUGGGGAAUUUUGGACAAUGGGCGCAAGCCUGAUCCAGCAAUGCCGCGUGCAGGAUGAAGGCCUUCGGGUUGUAAACUGCUUUUGUACGGAACGAAACGCUCCUUUCUAAUACAAGGGGGUAAUGACGGUACCGUAAGAAUAAGCACCGGCUAACUACGUGCCAGCAGCCGCCGUAA
RNAcentral lists this ribosomal RNA (500 nucleotides) under uncultured bacterium. RNAcentral describes it as "partial 16S ribosomal RNA". It matches the Rfam family "Bacterial small subunit ribosomal RNA", at positions 29 to 523 of the family's 1533-position model. The record is from RNAcentral.